Molecule: ribosomal RNA, 258 nt
Filed under: uncultured bacterium
Lineage: Bacteria
Description: partial 16S ribosomal RNA
Rfam family: Bacterial small subunit ribosomal RNA
Source: RNAcentral
CGAAGGGGCUAGCGUUGCUCGGAAUCACUGGGCGUAAAGGGCGCGUAGGCGGCCGAUUAAGUCGGGGGUGAAAGCCUGUGGCUCAACCACAGAAUUGCCUUCGAUACUGGUUGGCUUGAGACCGGAAGAGGACAGCGGAACUGCGAGUGUAGAGGUGAAAUUCGUAGAUAUUCGCAAGAACACCAGUGGCGAAGGCGGGCUGUCUGGUCCGGUUCUGACGCUGAGGCGCGAAAAGCGUGGGGGAGGCAAAACAGGAUU